Stegostoma tigrinum is the source of this 148-nucleotide long non-coding RNA. RefSeq lists it as uncharacterized. The record is from RefSeq and is a predicted model, not a curated record. The transcript has 3 exons. NCBI's taxonomy places the organism in Eukaryota, Metazoa, Chordata, Chondrichthyes, Orectolobiformes, Stegostomatidae.
GUUCUCUGGUCGCCACAUUAUUGAAAGGAUGUGGAUGCUUUGGAGACGGUGCAGAGGAGAUUCCGCAGGAUGUUGUCUGAUGGCUGGAGGUUUUAUAGAGCUCUUCCUUUCUCCAAGUAAACGUACAGACAUUGAAAAUCCACAAAGA